This 253-nucleotide ribosomal RNA is filed under the name uncultured bacterium. Its description in RNAcentral is "partial 16S ribosomal RNA". It matches the Rfam family "Bacterial small subunit ribosomal RNA", at positions 524 to 776 of the family's 1533-position model. The record is from RNAcentral.
UACAGAGGUCUCAAGCGUUGUUCGGAUUCAUUGGGCGUAAAGGGCGCGUAGGCGGCAAGGCAAGUCGGGUGUGAAAGCUUGGGGCUUAACCCCGAAAGGGCACUCGAAACUGCGUUGCUAGAGGGCCGGAGAGGAGAUCGGAAUUCACGGUGUAGCAGUGAAAUGCGUAGAGCUCGUGAGGAAGACCGGUGGCGAAGGCGGAUCUCUGGACGGCCCCUGACGCUGAGGCACGAAAGCGUGGGGAGCAAACAGG